GCCUGGGUUUGUUAUCUAGAAGGUGACCUA
This 30-nucleotide non-coding RNA is filed under the name Homo sapiens (human). Lineage: Eukaryota; Metazoa; Chordata; Mammalia; Primates; Hominidae. The record is from RNAcentral.